RNAcentral lists this ribosomal RNA (253 nucleotides) under uncultured bacterium. RNAcentral's name for it is "partial 16S ribosomal RNA". It matches the Rfam family "Bacterial small subunit ribosomal RNA", at positions 524 to 776 of the family's 1533-position model. The record is from RNAcentral.
UACGUAGGGUGCAAGCGUUGUCCGGAAUUAUUGGGCGUAAAGAGCUCGUAGGCGGUUCGUCGCGUCGGCUGUGAAAUCCCGAGGCUCAACCUCGGGUCUGCAGUCGAUACGGGCGGACUGGAGUUCGGCAGGGGAGACUGGAAUUCCUGGUGUAGCGGUGGAAUGCGCAGAUAUCAGGAGGAACACCGGUGGCGAAGGCGGGUCUCUGGGCCGAUACUGACGCUGAGGAGCGAAAGCGUGGGGAGCGAACAGG